UUUGCUUCUAGGCUCUCUGAGCUAAGAUCAUGUGUAGUAUCUGUUCUUUACAGUGUAAUUUCUGUAACAAUCUCUAAACCGAAACCAACAAAAUUACCUGUAUUUUUCGCAUUCGAAGGGGUGAUGUGAGAUUGGUCAACUACAUCCACAGGUUGGCUUCGUAUUGUAUUACGAUGUUAUCUAAAUAUAA
This 190-nucleotide small nuclear RNA is filed under the name Schistosoma margrebowiei. RNAcentral's name for it is "U2 spliceosomal RNA". It matches the Rfam family "U2 spliceosomal RNA". From Rfam's summary of the family: U2 is a small nuclear RNA (snRNA) component of the spliceosome (involved in pre-mRNA splicing). Complementary binding between U2 snRNA (in an area lying towards the 5' end but 3' to hairpin I) and the branchpoint sequence (BPS) of the intron results the bulging out of an unpaired adenosine, on the BPS, which initiates a nucleophilic attack at the intronic 5' splice site, thus starting the first of two transesterification reactions that mediate splicing. The record is from Rfam by way of RNAcentral. Lineage: Eukaryota; Metazoa; Platyhelminthes; Trematoda; Strigeidida; Schistosomatidae.